Molecule: long non-coding RNA, 595 nt
Organism: Chelonia mydas (Green sea turtle)
Lineage: Eukaryota; Metazoa; Chordata; Testudines; Cheloniidae
Exons: 2
Source: RefSeq, a predicted model, not a curated record
UAACGAACCUCCGGCAGCAAACAGGGCUGCCCAAGCCGCACCUGGGGGCUUCCGGAAGUGGGGGCUUCGAGUACCCGCUUUGGGACAACCCCUCUCAGCUUCUCCUCGUUAGUAUAGUGCAGCCCGUGGCAAAGGGGACAACAUCUCAAACGAGCUCUCCAACCUGGAGACGCCAUACAAAGAUCAGACAGGGGGUCUACAUGGCACCCCUUCCCCUCUCUACAGAGGAAAAAGGACUGCAAGCGGUCUAAAAUCCUACCUGCCUCAUGGGGCCACCCCUAACUCACCCAGCAAUAUCGUCGCUCUCCAGCGACACGCUCAGCCCGGCAGAAGAGUCUGUCCUGUCUCGGGGACUCUCUUUCUGCCCCGCCACCCCCCCCCAACAUGAUACAAUUCUGCGGUGGUCUGGAAGCCUACGUUCGCCGUCCACGUGCAUCCAACGAAGCGGGUAGUCGCCCACAAAAGCUUAUGCUCCCGUACGUCCGUUAGUCGAUAAGGUGCCGCAGGACUCUUUGCUACUCUUUUUGGUGCUCCAGACCAGCAUGAAUAUCUAAACUGAAAAAGCAAUAAAAUGAUGUUUCUAGCAACAUGGUAA